UACUUCUGUUUAGGGGAACCCAGAGGGAAAAUAUGGCAUUUUAAAAGUAGCCAACAUUUACGGUAGCUAGCUACGGUAGACUACAGAGGAAGUGUGAUAUUUUUAUGUCUUUUUCGGAGCGACAGAGGAAAAAUAUUUCAGUCGGCACAUUAAGUGAACCAAAAUUUGCGUUU
Long non-coding RNA from Etheostoma spectabile (orangethroat darter), 173 nucleotides. RefSeq lists it as uncharacterized. The record is from RefSeq and is a predicted model, not a curated record. The transcript has 3 exons. Lineage: Eukaryota; Metazoa; Chordata; Actinopteri; Perciformes; Percidae.